GGGGCACUAGCUCAACUGGAGGAGCGCCGGUCUCCAAAACCGGAGGUUGCAGGUUCGAGCCCUGCGUGCCCCG
This 73-nucleotide transfer RNA is filed under the name soil metagenome. It matches the Rfam family "tRNA". Rfam says of the family: Transfer RNA (tRNA) molecules are approximately 80 nucleotides in length. Their secondary structure includes four short double-helical elements and three loops (D, anti-codon, and T loops). Further hydrogen bonds mediate the characteristic L-shaped molecular structure. tRNAs have two regions of fundamental functional importance: the anti-codon, which is responsible for specific mRNA codon recognition, and the 3' end, to which the tRNAs corresponding amino acid is attached (by aminoacyl-tRNA synthetases). tRNAs cope with the degeneracy of the genetic code in two manners: having more than one tRNA (with a specific anti-codon) for a particular amino acid; and 'wobble' base-pairing, i.e. permitting non-standard base-pairing at the 3rd anti-codon position. The record is from RNAcentral. RNAcentral also lists the same sequence under 1 other name.